CCUACGGGAGGCAGCAGUGGGGAAUAUUGCUCAAUGGGGGCAACCCUGAUGCAGCGAAGCCGCGUGAGUGAAGAAGUAAUUCGUUAUGUAAAGCUCUAUUAGCAGGGAAGAAACUGACGGUACCUGAGUAAGCAGUCCCGGCUAACGACGGGCCAGCAGCCGCGGUAAUACGGAGGGGGCAAGCGUUAUCCGGAUUUAUGCGGUGUAAAGGGAGCGUAGACGGGAGUGCAAGGCUGGAGGGAAAGGCGGGGGCUCAACCCCCGGACUGCUCUGGAAACUGGAGGGCUGGAGUGCAGGAGAGGUAAGCGGAAUUCGUAGUGUAGCGGUGAAAUGCGUAGAUAUUAGGCGGAACACCGAUGGCGAAGGCGGCUUACUGGACUGUAACUGACGUUGAGGCUCGAAAGCGUGGGGAGCAAACAGGAUUAGAUACCCCAGUAGUC
RNAcentral lists this ribosomal RNA (440 nucleotides) under uncultured bacterium. RNAcentral describes it as "partial 16S ribosomal RNA". It matches the Rfam family "Bacterial small subunit ribosomal RNA", at positions 338 to 795 of the family's 1533-position model. The record is from RNAcentral.